RNAcentral lists this ribosomal RNA (492 nucleotides) under Atyaephyra desmarestii. RNAcentral's name for it is "partial 16S ribosomal RNA". It matches the Rfam family "Bacterial large subunit ribosomal RNA", at positions 1832 to 2628 of the family's 2925-position model. The record is from RNAcentral. Lineage: Eukaryota; Metazoa; Arthropoda; Malacostraca; Decapoda; Atyidae.
GUUUACUUGAAAAAAUAAGUAAUUUGACCUGCCCACUGAUGUUUUAAAGGGCCGCGGUAUCUGAACCGUGCUAAGGUAGCAUAAUCAAUAGUCUUUUAAUUGAAGUCUAGAAUGAAUGGUUUGACGAGAAAUUAACUGUUUCAAGCGUAUAAUUGAACUUUACUUUUGAGUGAAAAGGCUCAAAUAAAGUAGUGGGACGAUAAGACCCUAUGAAGCUUAUACAUCUUUGUUUUGCUGGGGCGGCAGGGAUAGAUAAUUAACUGUCCAUUAAUUAAAAAUAAUUUUGUUUAGUAAGUUGAUCUUCUAAUAGGGAUUAUAAAAUUAAAGUUACUCUAGGGAUAACAGCGUAAUUCUUUUUGAGAGUUCUUAUCGACAAAAGUAGUUGCGACCUCGAUGUUGAAUUAAAAUUUCUCCAAGGUGUAGCAGUUUUGGUAGUAGGUCUGUUCGACCUUUAAAAUUUUACAUGAUUUGAGUUCAGACCGGCGUGAGCCA